RNAcentral lists this long non-coding RNA (344 nucleotides) under Ananas comosus (pineapple). Its description in RNAcentral is "long non-coding RNA (ACOM_LNC033273)". The record is from RNAcentral. Lineage: Eukaryota; Viridiplantae; Streptophyta; Magnoliopsida; Poales; Bromeliaceae.
UCGGCUUGUUUCUAAAUGUCUCAAGGCUGUCUCUCAAGAAUUAAACUUGAUCGGACUGUUUUCUUUCAGACUUACGUCUGAAAUAAAGUUAGAUUUUACCUCUGUAUCAAAUAAUGUCACACUCUGCGAUUUUAUUUACUAACACUGGUAUUGAAGAAAUAAAAAGAAAUAUACUAACAGACCUAAUUUUACCUGCUUCGUUUACUUUAUUUAAAAAUAAACUUAACUAGAAAUAUGAAUCAACUAGUAUUCGAAUUUGAAACCUCGAUCAUCAAGCCUUUUGCCACAUGAUCUAGGGAUGGUUGGUUUGGUUGAGGACUGAAAGUUAAUCCCCAAAAAUUUAU